Molecule: long non-coding RNA, 750 nt
Organism: Bombus pascuorum
Lineage: Eukaryota; Metazoa; Arthropoda; Insecta; Hymenoptera; Apidae
Exons: 2
Source: RefSeq, a predicted model, not a curated record
CGUGGUGAUAGAUCAGACUGGCGAGAGACGCCAGGUGCUAGAAGCAAACGAUCGGUCAAACUUCUCUCUCGAGAUGACGACGGCGACGAAUGCACUUCACACGACGGCGUUCUACAUGACACACGCGGUUCUCAUGACUUAACAAGAACGCCUCCAGGUGCACAUCCCGUACAUCGCACAUACGUGUACAUCCGACACUGCAGAGCCACUGAAAGCAGCGCCGAGGUUAGGCUAUCGUAGUGGGGACACCUGUUCGACAUCCGUAGCAGCACUUUCUACGUUCUGACGGCGGUGCGUGGCCUCCCGAUAUCGAUAGUGGCCACGAUCGCCGAUAUACGCACUAUCGAGAACUCCCGUCGACCGAAUCGAGAUUUAUCGGACGCGAACAAUUGAAGUCUUCGACUCCAUUCACAUUCGACUCGUUCUCAUUGAUUCCACUAAGACGAUCGGCGCACCUCUUGUGACUGCUACUGGAAUUAUUGUAGUCGUUUCUGUUCGAAUCGUAUGUAGGUCAGUAAUGAAGUUUGAAAACAUUCAGGCAUAAAUAAAUUUUUAUAAAUCGAUUAUUUCGAACAUAAAAAAAUGAGAAAGAUAAAUUAUACAUAUAAUAUCAAAUGGAGUUGUCAAUAAGGGAUUCCUACGUCUUACAUUUGGUUAAGAUUUUAAUAUCGCAUAUUUACGAAAUUUCGUUUCAUCGUUUAUAUAGCCGUUUUUAAACGCUGAAUAGGAUUAAAUGUAUCACAAAGAUAA